Molecule: ribosomal RNA, 464 nt
Filed under: Vreelandella stevensii
Lineage: Bacteria; Pseudomonadati; Pseudomonadota; Gammaproteobacteria; Oceanospirillales; Halomonadaceae
Description: partial 16S ribosomal RNA
Rfam family: Bacterial small subunit ribosomal RNA
Source: RNAcentral
CUACGGGCGGCAGCAGUGGGGAAUAUUGGACAAUGGGCGAAAGCCUGAUCCAGCCAUGCCGCGUGUGUGAAGAAGGCCUUCGGGUUGUAAAGCACUUUCAGUGGGGAAGAAAGCCUUGGGGCUAAUACCCUCGAGGAAGGACAUCACCCACAGAAGAAGCACCGGCUAACUCCGUGCCAGCAGCCGCGGUAAUACGGAGGGUGCGAGCGUUAAUCGGAAUUACUGGGCGUAAAGCGCGCGUAGGCGGUCUGAUAAGCCGGUUGUGAAAGCCCCGGGCUCAACCUGGGAAUGGCAUCCGGAACUGUCAGGCUAGAGUGCAGGAGAGGAAGGUAGAAUUCCCGGUGUAGCGGUGAAAUGCGUAGAGAUCGGGAGGAAUACCAGUGGCGAAGGCGGCCUUCUGGACUGACACUGACGCUGAGGUGCGAAAGCGUGGGUAGCAAACAGGAUUAGAUACCCUGGUAGUC